UACGAAGGGGGCUAGCGUUGCUCGGAAUCACUGGGCGUAAAGGGUGCGUAGGCGGGUUUUUAAGUCCGGGGUGAAAUCCUGGAGCUCAACUCCAGAACUGCCUUUGAUACUGAAGAUCUUGAGUCCGGGAGAGGUGAGUGGAACUGCGAGUGUAGAGGUGAAAUUCGUAGAUAUUCGCAAGAACACCAGUGGCGAAGGCGGCUCACUGGCCCGGUACUGACGCUGAGGCACGAAAGCGUGGGGAGCAAACAGG
RNAcentral lists this ribosomal RNA (253 nucleotides) under uncultured bacterium. RNAcentral describes it as "partial 16S ribosomal RNA". It matches the Rfam family "Bacterial small subunit ribosomal RNA", at positions 524 to 776 of the family's 1533-position model. The record is from RNAcentral.